This is a non-coding RNA of Elaeis guineensis (African oil palm), 1075 nucleotides long. The record is from RefSeq and is a predicted model, not a curated record. Lineage: Eukaryota; Viridiplantae; Streptophyta; Magnoliopsida; Arecales; Arecaceae.
AAGGAGCGGGGCAUGCGUGAGGGAUGGUUGGCGCACACAAGGAGAUUGGCUGAGGUUGGAGAUCCCUUCUUUCUUACAAUCAAGAGUUGGUUGUUGAGAUAUCUUUGAUUCUCUUAAAAAGAGAAUCAGAAGAGAUAAAAAAUUCGAUCGACAAUCCAAGGAGUGAUCUCUGUAAGGGAGCUAGCAUUCAAGUGAGAUCGGGAUCUUCUAAUCAAAUCAGUCUCAUACCGAUACUUGUAGAGGCCAAACACUUGUGCGGCUUCAAAAGGACCUUGAAGACAUCCAUAGAUCAUUAGAUCACGGAUUCAAUGGAUCAUGAAGAUAUCUAUGGAUUAUCGGAUCACGAUUGGGUUCAAUUAGGCUCAAUUGGUCUAAUCUAGCUUGAACCCAAAUGCAUUCAAGAGCCAAGAAGGAGAUCCAAGGGUUCAUCAUGGAAGUACUACAACCAAUGGUGGAGAUCUAGGUGCCUAAGAUGAAGAAUUAGGGUGAAAAGAAAUCAAUGGUCAAAGAUAAAUCAAGGAAGAUCUAAAGGCCACCAACUCUUCGAGCAUUUUCCCAUGGAUUGGAGAUAAAAUCAAGGGUUAAUUGAAGAUUGGGUUCAAUCAGGCUCAAUUUGGUCUAAUCCAGCUUGAAUCCAAAUACAUUUAAGAGCCAAGAAGAAGAUCCAAGGGUUCAUCAUUGAAGCAUUGCAACUGAUGGUGGAGAUCUAGGUGCCUAAGAAGAAGAAUCAAGGCAAAAAGAAAUCAAUGGUCAAAGAUAAAUCAAGAAAGAUAUAAAGGCCACCAACUUUUGGAGCAUUCUCCCAUAGAUUGAAGAUAAAAUCAAGGAUUGGAAGCUAAUCAAUCAAGCAUCCAAUGGUCCUAAUUAUUGGCACCAAGAGAGAGGAAAAAAAAAAGGAGGAUUUCAUGAGAAACAAAGUUGGGAAAAUUUCUGUAUGAUACCAUUUGGAAUUUGAUCAAGUUUCAACAACAAGAUAUGAGGCAUAGCCCUAGAUUGAAGGGCUGAUAUUGAUGGCACCUCCCAUGAGGGCUUAAUGGAAGAUUUGAAGAGAAAGUGGAGAAAAAUUUAGACUCUA